Molecule: ribosomal RNA, 200 nt
Filed under: uncultured Glomus
Lineage: Eukaryota; Fungi; Glomeromycota; Glomeromycetes; Glomerales; Glomeraceae
Description: partial small subunit ribosomal RNA
Rfam family: Eukaryotic small subunit ribosomal RNA
Source: RNAcentral
CCAAUAGCGUAUAUUAAAGUUGUUGCAGUUAAAAAGCUCGUAGUUGAAUUUCGGGAUCAAGGAAUCGGUCAUGCCUUGGUAUGUACUGGUUUUAUUGGUUCUCACCUUCUAAAGAACCAUAAUGUCAUUUAUUUGAUGUUAUGGGGAAUUAGGACUGUUACCUUGAAAAAAUUAGAGUGUUUAAAGCAAGCUUACGCUUG